UAGGGAAUCUUCGGCAAUGGACGAAAGUCUGACCGAGCAACGCCGCGUGAGUGAAGAAGGUUUUCGGAUCGUAAAACUCUGUUGUUAGAGAAGAACAAGGACGUUAGUAACUGAACGUCCCCUGACGGUAUCUAACCAGAAAGCCACGGCUAACUACGUGCCAGCAGCCGCGGUAAUACGUAGGUGGCAAGCGUUGUCCGGAUUUAUUGGGCGUAAAGCGAGCGCAGGCGGUUUCUUAAGUCUGAUGUGAAAGCCCCCGGCUCAACCGGGGAGGGUCAUUGGAAACUGGGAGACUUGAGUGCAGAAGAGGAGAGUGUAAUUCCAUGUGUAGCGGUGAAAUGCGUAGAUAUAUGGAGGAACACCAGUGGCGAAGGCGGCUCUCUGGUCUGUAACUGACGCUGAGGCUCGAAAGCGUGGGGAGCAAACAGG
Molecule: ribosomal RNA, 429 nt
Filed under: Gemmatimonadota bacterium
Lineage: Bacteria; Pseudomonadati; Gemmatimonadota
Description: Gemmatimonadetes bacterium partial 16S ribosomal RNA
Rfam family: Bacterial small subunit ribosomal RNA
Source: RNAcentral